AACGAACGCUGGCGGCAUGCCUAACACAUGCAAGUCGAACGAGACCUUCGGGUCUAGUGGCGCACGGGUGCGUAACGCGUGGGAACCUGCCCUUAGGUUCGGAAUAACUCCCCGAAAGGGGUGCUAAUACCGGAUAAUGUCUUCGGACCAAAGAUUUAUCGCCUUUGGAUGGGCCCGCGUUGGAUUAGCUAGUUGGUAGGGUAAAAGCCUACCAAGGCGACGAUCCAUAGCUGGUCUGAGAGGAUGAUCAGCCACACUGGGACUGAGCCACGGCCCAGACUCCAGGGGGCGGCGGGAGUGGGGAAACUUGGGCAGGGGGCAAAAGCCAGUACCACCAAGGGCGGGGGGACGAUCAAGGGCUUGGGUUUCAAAAGCUCCUUUCCCGGGGAUGAAAAGACGGUAACGGGGAAAAAAGCCCCGGCUAACUACGGG
Molecule: ribosomal RNA, 432 nt
Filed under: uncultured bacterium
Lineage: Bacteria
Description: partial 16S ribosomal RNA
Rfam family: Bacterial small subunit ribosomal RNA
Source: RNAcentral